This 433-nucleotide ribosomal RNA is filed under the name uncultured bacterium. RNAcentral's name for it is "partial 16S ribosomal RNA". It matches the Rfam family "Bacterial small subunit ribosomal RNA", at positions 29 to 507 of the family's 1533-position model. The record is from RNAcentral.
AGCGAACGCUGGCGGCAGGCUUAACACAUGCAAGUCGAGCGGGCACUUCGGUGUCAGCGGCAGACGGGUGAGUAACACGUGGGAACGUACCCUUUGGUUCGGAAUAACGCUGGGAAACUAGCGCUAAUACCGGAUACGCCCUUUUGGGGAAAGGCUUGCUGCCGAAGGAUCGGCCCGCGUCUGAUUAGCUAGUUGGUGGGGUAAUGGCCUACCAAGGCGACGAUCCGUAGCUGGUCUGAGAGGAUGAUCAGCCACACUGGGACUGAGACACGGCCCAGACUCCUACGGGAGGCAGCAGUGGGGAAUAUUGGACAAUGGGCGCAAGCCUGAUCCAGCCAUGCCGCGUGAGUGAUGAAGGCCUUAGGGUUGUAAAGCUCUUUUGUCCGGGACGAUAAUGACGGUACCGGAAGAAUAAGCCCCGGCUAACUUCGUG